AUUCCAGCUCCAAUAGCGUAUAUUUAAGUUGUUGCAGUUAAAAAGCUCGUAGUUGGAUUUCGGUUAAGAGCGACCGGUCCGCCGUUUGGUGUGCACUGGUUGGUUCUAACUUCCUGUAGAGGACGUGCUCUGGGCUUAACGGUCUGGACUCGGAGUCUACGUGGUUACUUUGAAAAAAUUAGAGUGUUCAAAGCGGGCCUACGCCUGAAUAUUCGUGCAUGGAAUAAUAGAAUAGGAAGUCGUUUCUAUUUUGUUGGUUUUCGGAAAUCGACUUAAUGAUUAGUAGGGACAGUCGGGGGCAUUUGUAUUCAAACGACGGAGGUGAAAUUCUUGGACCGUUUGAAGACGAACCACUGCGAAAGCAUUUGCCAGGGAUGUUUUCAUUA
This 386-nucleotide ribosomal RNA is filed under the name Crustacea sp. 'Maxillopoda'. RNAcentral describes it as "partial small subunit ribosomal RNA". It matches the Rfam family "Eukaryotic small subunit ribosomal RNA", at positions 582 to 975 of the family's 1831-position model. Lineage: Eukaryota; Metazoa; Arthropoda. The record is from RNAcentral.